AGCAGGGCGCUCUCCUGCUGCCGUCCCUGCUGCUCCAGUGUUUGGAAGAGGCUUUGCACUGGCAACGCCGAGCUUCAAAGCAAAUCUUCAAUCUCCUAUUUGUACUCGCUGUUCCCAUAUUUAGAACAGAGCAGCACAUACUUGUCUAUUGCUUCAAGGCAAGAGCAAAUUCUGAAGGUAUUAAAUAGAGCCUUACUUCAAGCAAACAAGAAAGCCUGGAAAAAGUGAAGAACAAGGCUCGCUCACAUUCCGUACGUUUUAAAGAUUAUACUCAUCGAGAGGGGUAACAUUUCCAGUCAGAAGCCACGCUGCAACCUCUUCAACAAACGGAAGGGUUAUCAUUUUAGAAGCCACACAGAUCAGCUUGUGACACUUGAUGUAGAUGUCUUGUCUUUUUUUUAAAACCGUAUUUACAUAUGAAACAAGCUUGGACAGAUACAGACGCACAAUAGGCAUAGAAGGAGUAGGUAUAUAUAAAAAAUGGUUUUCUGUUUGCUUAUUCAUUUUCCCUCGGAUCUCUGUGUUUAGAGAGGUAGUAUUAAUUUCAUCCUUAGUAACCUGGAGUUCUGGCAAAGGUGACUUCGGGGAUUAUGAAUCGUGAGAGCUGUUGGUUCUCUCUUUGAUACAUCUUUAUUGAGAGCCUAUCUGGGAAAGAAGUCAGAUGAUUGUUUGGCACAUACUGAAGGCCUGAGAUGAGCUGAGCCAGAAAUGUCCUGAACACAGGUGUGAAGUCAGUUAUGGCUAUCCCAUAGCCAUCGCUGCUCUACCAGUUUGUCCCAGAUUGUCGAAACUCUUCAUGUUUCAAUGCCGCCAGCUGGUGGCAUGAUGGCUAAAGCGGCUGGAUCCC
Tupaia belangeri chinensis (Chinese tree shrew) is the source of this 847-nucleotide long non-coding RNA. RefSeq lists it as uncharacterized. The transcript has 3 exons. The record is from RefSeq and is a predicted model, not a curated record. Lineage: Eukaryota; Metazoa; Chordata; Mammalia; Scandentia; Tupaiidae.